UACAGAGGUGCCGAGCGUUAGGCGGAAUCACUGGGCUUAAAGCGUGUGUAGGCGGGCGGGCAAGUACCUUGUGAAAUCCCACGGCUCAACCGUGGAACGGCUGGGUAUACUGCCUGUCUUGAGCCAACUAGGGGCGAGCGGAACAGACGGUGGAGCGGUGAAAUGCAUUGAGAUCGGAAAGAACACCAACGGCGAAAGCACUCUGCUGGGCCGACACUGACACUGAGAGACGAAAGCUAGGGGAGCAAAUGGG
RNAcentral lists this ribosomal RNA (253 nucleotides) under uncultured bacterium. RNAcentral's name for it is "partial 16S ribosomal RNA". It matches the Rfam family "Bacterial small subunit ribosomal RNA", at positions 524 to 776 of the family's 1533-position model. The record is from RNAcentral.